This is a long non-coding RNA of Daphnia pulicaria, 455 nucleotides long. RefSeq lists it as uncharacterized. The record is from RefSeq and is a predicted model, not a curated record. The transcript is spliced from 3 exons. NCBI's taxonomy places the organism in Eukaryota, Metazoa, Arthropoda, Branchiopoda, Diplostraca, Daphniidae.
GCUAUAUCUCUGAACUCAUGAAACUUACUGGAUCUUGAUGGACAAAAUUUGCUGCUACGUGGGCGCACAUCUCUUUUUUACUUUUUUGGCACGAAGAAACGCAGCCGUCCGGGAUGUAUUUAAGGGUGAUGCCCCGAGAGAUGAAACGGGAUCUCUUGGAAGGAAAAUGAUCCUCGUCUGUUACACCUGCAUUUUUGUUGAGCUAGGUUUCACCGUCAUCGCCUUUAUCAUAAUGACUUUUCCGAUUAUUUUAGGAAGAUAGAACUUUCGAUAUUUUAAAUUUUCAUUGAGACUUUAAUUAACGCUCUGCCACUGUGUAAAGAAUCCAAGAAUGACUUCGCCAUUAGUUUCUAAAUGUUGCAAUGCGGAAUUUUGUAAAGAUUCUCGUCAAGAUAGGUAGAUUUCUGCGGAUUUCUGUGUUUGGGGGAAUUAAAUCGAUUGGUAUUUUAUAAGUA